AGAGUUUGAUCGUGGCUCAGAAUGAACGCUGGCGGCGUGCUUAACACAUGCAAGUCGAACGAUGAAGCCUAGCUUGCUAGGUGGAUUAGUGGCGCACGGGUGAGUAAUAUAUAGAUAACGUGCCUCUUAGUCUGGGAUAGCCAUUGGAAACGAUGAUUAAUACUAGGUACUCCUUCUCUUUAUAAUGAGAGUUGGGAAAGUUUUUCGCUAAGAGAUCGGUCUAUAUCCCAUCAGCUUGUUGGUAGUGUAAGAGACUACCAAGGCUAUGACGGGUAGCGGGUUUGAGAGGAUGAUCCGCCACACUGGUACCGAGACACGGACCAGACUCCUACGGGAGGCAGCAGUGAGGAAUAUUGCACAAUGGAGGAAACUCUGAUGCAGCAACGCCGCGUGGAGGAUGACGCAUUUCGGUGUGUAAACUCCUUUUAUGAGUCAAGAAAAUGACGGUAUCAUAUGAAUAAGCGCCGGAUAACUCCGUGCCAGCAGCCGCGGUAAUACGGAGGGCGCAAGCGUUACUCGGAAUCACUGGGCGUAAAGAGCGUGUAGGCGGGUAUUUAAGUUGGAAGUGAAAUCCUAUGGCUCAACCAUAGAACUGCUUCCAAAACUGAAUACCUAGAAUAUGGGAGAGGUAGAUGGAAUUUCUGGUGUAGGGGUAAAAUCCGUAGAGAUCAGAAGGAAUACCGAUUGCGAAGGCGAUCUACUGGAACAUUAUUGACGCUGAGACGCGAAAGCGUGGGGAGCAAACAGGAUUAGAUACCCUGGUAGUCCACGCCCUAAACGAUGUACAUUAGUUGUUGCGAUGCUAGACAUUGCAGUAAUGCAGUUAACACAUUAAAUGUACCGCCUGGGGAGUACGGUCGCAAGAUUAAAACUCAAAGGAAUAGACGGGGACCCGCACAAGCGGUGGAGCAUGUGGUUUAAUUCGACGAUACGCGAAGAACCUUACCUGGCCUUGACAUAGAAAGAAUUUAGCAGAGAUGUAAAAGUGCUAGUUUACUAGAGCUUUCAUACAGGUGCUGCACGGCUGUCGUCAGCUCGUGUCGUGAGAUGUUAGGUUAAGUCCUGCAACGAGCGCAACCCUCGUGUUUAGUUACUAACAGUUCGGCUGAGGACUCUAGACAUACUGCCUGGGCAACCAGGAGGAAGGUGAGGACGACGUCAAGUCAUCAUGGCCCUUACGGCCAGGGCUACACACGUGCUACAAUGGGGUAUACAAAGAGCCGCAAUACCGCGAGGUGGAGCAAAUCUCAUAAAAUAUCUCCCAGUUCGGAUUACACUCUGCAACUCGAGUGUAUGAAGUUGGAAUCGCUAGUAAUCGUAGAUCAGCAAUGCUACGGUGAAUACGUUCCCGGGUCUUGUACUCACCGCCCGUCACACCAUGGGAGUUGAAUUCAUUCGAAGCGGGGAUGCUAAAAUAGCUACCUUCCACAGUGGAUUUAGUAACUAGGGUGAAGUCGUAACAAGGUAACC
Molecule: ribosomal RNA, 1470 nt
Filed under: uncultured bacterium
Lineage: Bacteria
Description: 16S ribosomal RNA
Rfam family: Bacterial small subunit ribosomal RNA
Source: RNAcentral